CCUGAGCUGGCAAGGCCUUGGGCUUCAGUGAAGAUAUCCUGCCAGGCUUUCUACACCUUUUCCAGAAGGGUGCACUUUGCCAUUAGGGAUACCAACUACUGGAUGCAGUGGGUAAAACAGAGGCCUGGACAGGGUCUGGAAUGGAUCGGGGCUAUUUAUCCUGGAAAUGGUGAUACUAGUUACAAUCAGAAGUUCAAGGGCAAGGCCACAUUGACUGCAGACAAAUCCUCCAGCACAGCCUACAUGCAACUCAGCAGCCUGACAUCUGAGGACUCUGCGGUCUAUUACUGUGCAUGA
Molecule: non-coding RNA, 297 nt
Organism: Mus musculus (house mouse)
Lineage: Eukaryota; Metazoa; Chordata; Mammalia; Rodentia; Muridae
Source: the annotation of a RefSeq genome assembly